This 1824-nucleotide ribosomal RNA is filed under the name Triticum aestivum (bread wheat). RNAcentral's name for it is "partial small subunit ribosomal RNA". The record is from RNAcentral. Lineage: Eukaryota; Viridiplantae; Streptophyta; Magnoliopsida; Poales; Poaceae.
UGCAUGCGCCGAGCGCCGUGCGUCGGUCUGCGCUCUGUUUAGCUCGGCGCUAGGUGAUAGGACAGGCAGGGGCAGAGGGGCUGGAGAGCUAAGCGGCGAGCGGACGAGCAGCCUCGGGCCUCCGGCAGGGUCGGACCGCGGACGGAGGGGAAGCGCGGGCAGGCCUCGUGCCGCAGUUGGCGCGGGAGGCGCGGGUCGCGGGUGACGUGGACCGCGGGCGGCGCGGCGGAUUAGGCGUUAGGCAGUGAGCCGACCGUCCGCCGUGGCGCCGUCGUUGGAACGAGGACACCGUAAAUCAGACUAAACUCACACACGAGGGUCAAGUAGUGAGCGGAGUUCUUUCUACACCGCGAGAACCCAGACUUCAACGGGAGGAUGUCUCUACCUCUUCCUUAGAAACCACCGACUGCGUCCAGGAUCAUCCAUGGAACACUGGAGUUACGACCUGUCAGAACGACUUAAGGCAUUGUAUGGGAAGAUAUGCUUAUUAAAUUUCAUAGGGACCCUCCUUCUACUCCUCCUCUAAUUCCGCUUACUUAUGCUACCUUAACUAAUAUUAUUUCAUAGCUCGUUUGGUACCGGUAGGUACGGUAUAUCUAGAUCAUUCUCUUCUCCCCCUUCUCCUUCGUUAAGACAACUAGGGGUUGUACCCUUUACCGGAGUGGCGUUCUUUCACCUAAGCGGCGUUGGCGAGAAUUGAUCACUUCUUCAAGAAGCACAAGCAAACCUGUACAUGUUAAACUUUCUUAGAGUCUUAAGUCUUCUCAGGGAGAAGUUAACGGAGUGUAGAUUCCUCCUCGACUUCCAGUUGAAGGGAGUGUGGUACUGUAUGAUAAUAGUAAGGUAAGCACUGCCGGACUUUCGUUUCAGAAUGGGCGUGAAGAAAGUGGUUAAACAACCCUUCAAAAGUAGAGGUACGACAUUGAUAUAACUUGGAUGCUGAGACCUUCCACUAAACGUUAUGUAGCUAAAGAAACUGUUUGAUUACCUCAGUCGCUCCAUGUCUCUCUGGUUUCUGCCCCACGAUCGGUUCCGAUAACAGUAACGUUUGUUCAAAAAGGUUUUUUACGACAAAAAAGUUUAAUCCUAACGACAACUACUCAUGAAUGUCGAGUACGUAGUAGAGCUCUUCUACCGCGUCUCCGUAUUCGACAUGAUAAUGUAACACGUACUUCUCGAUUAACUCUUUUUCCUCGCAUUUCGAUAAAAGUUCGUGUAGGUUCUUCCUUCUCAAGCAAAUAAGAUACUAGAAUGGCUCAAACGACGAGAUCUCAACCUCCUAACACUUAUAUGACAUGUUCUGUGCCAGCUUGCAGAAUUUCUUGAAUGACCACCAUUCAGAGGAGGUUUCUUUUCGUAGUUUCUACCGUGAAUGUUUUCCGCAUAGACAUUACUCUAGCUAUUCGACAAGGGUUCUCUUUAGCUCGAAAUAUGCAGAAAAGAGUUUGUCUUUUACUUCUGUCGACUUCUUGUGUUACAAUAUGGGUUCCCUUGAACACUUGCAAAGGCAUCAAAUAGAUUGAAACUCAGUUCUCUCUUUCUUGAUCUCGAUAGAUACACACAGUGGACGAUAAAGAGUCACUUUCCUAAACAAAUACUAUGACGUCUUCCCUGGACUUCUUUUUAUAUCUCCACUAAUCGGUUCGCGCACUUGAAACGGUAAAGUAGUUCAACUGCUAACGAACUCCGAUCUCGUAAGUUAUACAAUUCUAAACCAACUUCGACCACCGUAUCUUGUAAAGAUAAAUACAUCAAAAGAUCAUAAUAAUUGUCCAACAUACUUUGUGACUAACUGAUAUUAUUUGCAUGAUCAUGUUUUAACCC